UACGAAGGGGGCUAGCGUUGCUCGGAAUCACUGGGCGUAAAGGGUGCGUAGGCGGGUCUUUAAGUCAGGGGUGAAAUCCUGGAGCUCAACUCCAGAACUGCCUUCGAUACUGGACGAUCUUGAGUCCGGAAGAGGUGAGUGGAACUCCUAGUGUAGAGGUGGAAUUCGUAGAUAUUAGGAAGAACACCAGUGGCGGAAGGCGGCUUCUGAUCCGGUGACCGUACGUCG
This 228-nucleotide ribosomal RNA is filed under the name uncultured bacterium. Its description in RNAcentral is "partial 16S ribosomal RNA". It matches the Rfam family "Bacterial small subunit ribosomal RNA", at positions 524 to 748 of the family's 1533-position model. The record is from RNAcentral.